UUCUACAGCCAUAUCACCCUGCAGCCCAAAAGCAGUUACUCACUGAAGCUUAGCAGGGCUGAGCCUGGUCAGUCCCUGGGUGGGAGGCCACAUGUGAAAACUAGGCUGCGGUCGGAA
Ribosomal RNA from Danio rerio (zebrafish), 117 nucleotides. NCBI's taxonomy places the organism in Eukaryota, Metazoa, Chordata, Actinopteri, Cypriniformes, Danionidae. The record is from Ensembl.